Molecule: long non-coding RNA, 1365 nt
Filed under: Bemisia tabaci
Lineage: Eukaryota; Metazoa; Arthropoda; Insecta; Hemiptera; Aleyrodidae
Description: lncRNA ENSSWEETPG000049
Source: RNAcentral
AUGAUACGGCAUUCCACCCCUCAGAAAGUAUCCGGUUUGCAACCCUCAUAUGAAUCACAAGGUGCUACAAGAGCAGGCCAGCAUGCUGAUAAGAACUCUGCACCUGACACCUCGAAACUCUGGGAGGAAUUCAAAGAGUCGAUUUCGCGAGUAGCGCGAGAAGUUGGUCUGACAAAUUCGACGGAUUUUUAUGAAAGCAUGGAAAAAGAUGCCUCGAGGUUGACCAGACAGGCUAAUCAACAUCAUGAAGAGAGCCUAUCAAAGCUUUCGAAUGAGGUUCAGGACUCCGUUUUAGAUAAAGUCCGAGAACGUGGUUUGCCGAAUCCAUCACCGAGUGCGAGAGUACGCCGGCAAGCUAGACAACACUCUGCGUCUGAUACGAUGACGGGACUAAGUUUCUCCCACCUUUGGCAAGAACUCGAAGAGUCUGUCUUAAGGGUGGCUCGAGAAGUUGGUCUGGACAAUUCAACGAGCCUCUGGGAGAAUUUAGGAAAGGCUGUUUCGAGAGUGUCAAGACAAACUGACCGCCAGUAUGAAGAACUCUGGAAUGAGUUUGAACACUUUGUUUCGAGAGCAACCCGAGAAGCCAGCUCACCAAAUAUAGCACCAAAUAUAGCACCAAAUUCGAGAGUGCGCAGGCAAGCCGACCACCAUUCGGUGCCUGAAGCAAUUGCAGAACCGAGUCUUUCUCAGAUCUGGGAGGAAAUUAAAGAGUCUACCUCAAGAAUAGCUCGAGAGGUAGGUCUAUCCGAUGAAACUAGUUUCUUGGAGGACUUGGGGAAGGCUGCCCUGAGAGUGACCAGACAUGCUGACCACCAGUAUGGUGAAAGUCUCUCAAAGUUAUGGAAUGAGAUUGAAGACUCAAUUUCAGAAGCAGCCCAAGAGAUUGAGCUAUCGAAUGCGUCACCAAAUUUGAGAGUGCGCCGGCAAGCUGAACAACACACUGCAUCUGAUACGACAGCAGAAUUGAGUCUCUCUCACCUUUGGAAAGAAUUGGGAGAGGCUGCUUUGAGAGUGACGAGACAGACUGACGAAGAAUAUAAAGAUAGCCUCUCUAAGCUUUGGGAUGAGCUUAAGAACUCUAUUUCAAGAGAAAUCCCCGAGGUAGAUUCAUCAGAUGCAUCUCCGAGGACAAGAGUGCGCCGACGAGUCGAUAAAAAUUCUGUGCACGCCACGCCGGUGGAAUCAAGUUUCUCUCAGAUCUGGGAGGACUUUGAAGAGUCCAUUUCGAGAGAAGCCCGAGAAGUCGGUUCUUCAAAUUCAACGAACGCCCGGGAGAACUCAGAGGAGGGUGCUUCAAGAGUGAACAGACAAACUGCGAAUCAAUAUGAAGACGAUGUUUUUCAACUCUGGCAUCAGUUUUGA